GCAGCAACGCCGCGUGAGGGAUGACGGCCUUCGGGUUGUAAACCUCUUUUAGCAGGGAAGAAGCGAGAGUGACGGUACCUGCAGAAAAAGCGCCGGCUAACUACGUGCCAGCAGCCGCGGUAAUACGUAGGGCGCAAGCGUUAUCCGGAAUUAUUGGGCGUAAAGAGCUCGUAGGCGGUUUGUCGCGUCUGCUGUGAAAUCCCGAGGCUCAACCUCGGGCCUGCAGUGGGUACGGGCAGACUAGAGUGCGGUAGGGGAGAUUGGAAUUCCUGGUGUAGCGGUGGAAUGCGCAGAUAUCAGGAGGAACACCGAUGGCGAAGGCAGAUCUCUGGGCCGUAACUGACGCUGAGGAGCGAAAGGGUGGGGAGCAAACAGGCUUAGAUACCCUGGUAGUCCACCCCGUAAACGUUGGGAACUAGUUGUGGGGUCCAUUCCACGGACUCCGUGACGCAGCUAACGCAUUAAGUUCCCCGCCUGGGGAGUACGGCCGCAAGGCUAAAACUCAAAGGAAUUGACGG
This 518-nucleotide ribosomal RNA is filed under the name uncultured bacterium. Its description in RNAcentral is "bacterial SSU rRNA". It matches the Rfam family "Bacterial small subunit ribosomal RNA", at positions 388 to 916 of the family's 1533-position model. The record is from RNAcentral.